RNAcentral lists this long non-coding RNA (1781 nucleotides) under Pelobates cultripes (western spadefoot toad). Lineage: Eukaryota; Metazoa; Chordata; Amphibia; Anura; Pelobatidae. The record is from RNAcentral.
CAGGAUAAAAACAUAAUAUAUCUUAUUAUAACUUUAUAAAUAUAUAUUGAUAAAUCUCAAGAGGAACUCUGCAUCUCAUAAUGUAAUUGCCCAAGGAAAAAAUCAUUUAAAGAAACAGUACAUAAUCUAACCAAAUUAUUUUCCAAACUAUUAAAUUCCAAAUCCAAUUAUUGGCUAAAUUAUGGCUAAUAUGUUUGAUAGAUGUUUAGAAAUUUUAGGUCUAGGAUUAGUGAGCAUCUCUGAGACAAUCGAGGUGAAGUUUAAAUAACUUGGGUUACUCAAUAUUUUUUUUUUAUCUUGCAAUGGAAGAAAAAUACAAUACAUCAUGUUUUAAGGGAUCCAAAUAUGUCUUUACAACCAAUGGUGUGGUGAAAUAUUUAAUAUACUUGAUUGUUAAGAGGUUACAUUGAUUUUUUCCAUCUGCAUUUAUGCAUGCACAUAUACAACUACAUACAAACAGACACAUAUACUUACAUACACAGGUAUUAGACUUGUUCAAUGUGAAAAUAAAAUCCAGUUUUUGGAGAAAAAAAUAGUUUAGGCAAUUCAGGUUUCGUUAAUGUGGUGUUUUGGUUCAGACAAAUUUUGUCCUUGAAUCUGAAAAAAUGCACCUAUUAGUGUACUGCAAAAUAUAUACAACAUAUAAAUAUUUAUAUAUUUUUGCAGAACACUGAUAGGUGCAUUUUAACGCAAAUUGGUUCACAGAUCAAGUGAGAAGGUUUAGUAAAAGAGGGAAAAAUAAGAGAAGUAAAAAAUCUGUAUAUAUUUAUAUAUUAUAAGUAUAUCACAUGCAGGGCCGGAUUAAGAGCCCAGUGGGCCUGGUGCUGACAUCUUAUCGACCAAAAACACUAAAACAAUCAUACCUCCCAAGCGUCAUGUAUCUGAUGGAGAUGGUGCUGGAGGGAAACUCAUAGGAUGCAGCUAUAAGAAAACAUAUACUCUAUGCUAAUCUCUCUCUAAUUUAUGCUUUCAUCUUUCAAGUAAAUCCAUAACCCCUAACAGCAGUGUCCAGUGAAGCAGAAAGUCAAUGGGCAGGGUAAAAGGGUGUGCCACUGGCGCAAAUCACGUGACAAGACCUGCCAAAAGGGGUGAACAUGCCCAAAAACAGGGCAUUUUUGUCCAAAGAAUUGGAAGGUCAGCCUGGCAUGAAUGCAUGUCAGGCUGCCUGCCAAUCCUGCAGGCUGUCCAACUAAGGGCAUACUACGCAGGCAGCACCUUGAGCUUGACAUAAAUGCGUCUAGUGAUGUGCUCACUCCAUUCUUUCUAAGGACUGUCCCAUAGCACUCGCUGGUCCACUUGUCUCCUUACCUUCUUACUAGCAGGCAGAAGUUCCUGGUAUAUAGUCUGAGACAGAGAAAAGGUGUCUGUAGUGAGUGUAGAAGGAAGGGGACAUGCCACAGUGUUAGAGAGACCAACGUCUGCAUUACCUAAACUAACUUUAAAGGACCACUAUAGUGCCAGGAAAACAUACUCGCCCGGCUCUGGGGUUAAACUUACCUUUAUUCCAGUGCCGGGCGGGGAGCUCUCCGCCUCCGAUCCUCCCUUUUGGCUGAAUGCGCACGCGCGGCAAGAGCUGCGCACGCAUUCAGCCGGUCUCAUAGGAAAGCAUUCAUAAUGCUUCCUAUGGACGCUUGCAUCUUCUCACUGUGAUUUUCACAGUGAGAAGCACGCAAACGCCUCUAGCGGCUGUCAAUGAGACAGCCACUAGAGGAUUUGGAGGCUGGAUUAACCCUAACAUAAACAUAGCAGUUUCUCUGAAACUGCUAUGUUUAUUAAAAAAA